AAGUCGUAACAAGGUUUCCGUAGGUGAACCUGCGGAAGGAUCAUUAAUGAAUAACUAUGGUAAUGGUUGUUGCUGGCUUUUUGGAGCAAGUGCACACCUGCCAUUCUUAUCUCCCCACCUGUGCACCUAGUGUAGGUCUGGAUACCUAUCGCUCUUGAGCGGAUACAGGGAUUGUCUUUAUGGGACUCUCCUUGAAUUUCCAGAUCUAUGUAUUUUACACACCCAAAUUGAAUGAUGUAGAAUGUAGUCAAUGGGCAAUCAAGCCUAUAAAUCACAAUACAACUUUCAGCAACGGAUCUCUUGGCUCUC
Molecule: unclassified non-coding RNA, 309 nt
Filed under: air metagenome
Description: partial contains small subunit ribosomal RNA, internal transcribed spacer 1, and 5.8S ribosomal RNA
Rfam family: Eukaryotic small subunit ribosomal RNA (bases 1-46)
Source: RNAcentral